Molecule: long non-coding RNA, 2180 nt
Organism: Phragmites australis (common reed)
Lineage: Eukaryota; Viridiplantae; Streptophyta; Magnoliopsida; Poales; Poaceae
Exons: 2
Source: RefSeq, a predicted model, not a curated record
UCCACGCGUGCCGACAAAUGGGCUCCUGCGAAAUGAGCUCGUUCCGCUCCUCAUUCCAAAAACCGCCCCCAUGCUCAUCUCUUGUGCACGCCCCACCCUACCAAAAUCGUCGCCCUGGGGGCGCCCCCCACCCCGCUGCUACCAGCCUUGCCACCCCACUCCCCUGCCCUCCGCCUGCCCUCCGGCUUCCCCCCCCCCCCCCCCCUUGAGGGCACAGAUCGGGCCAACCCGCCCCCGCACCGGUAACGUGCUAGGACUGUGGCGAAGCCUGGAGCGGCAGCAGGGAUCUCGCAGCAGGAGGUGUCGUUGCUCGAGGAGGUGGUGGAGGGAGGGGGCUGCGGCGGGGAGGAACCAGGGACGUCAGCACCUUCACCGACCUUGGGAUUGGGCUUGAUGAGUGCCCCGCCCGCCUCCAUUCUCCAGCCCUAGCGUGUCAAGGUUCAGCGUCAGCUGCGGGUUCGGCGUCGAAGGGGGGUUCGGAGGUGCAAGGUUACUUAUUUCUCCCUUCACUGUUUUCUUGGUGGGAGGAUUUGCCAGUUAAUCUUUGGUAAAGUUGUAGGCGUGACGGCGAGAAUUAAGAAUCUUGACUUGACGAAUUGAAUGCUCAAGGCACUCCUUGUUUCGGGUACUUUGUUGUGUGUCUCGUUAUAGUCUUGGCUAUACUCAGCGUGAUUUCGGCGGUUGGAAUGGCUAUCUUGUUGUGGACUGGACUGGAGUUGCUUCAGUUCAGUCCUAACUCACGAGUAAUCUCAUUCAACGAUGGCUUCUCAUUGGUGUAAUGGCUAGGAGAAUGAUGUUUUAUUUGUACUGGUGUAUGCGACUUGGUUAGUAUCUGUUUACCGCUAAUAAGUUACAAAAGGGGUUACGAAUUACCUGAUGCAAAACCAGCAUUGUGCAUACAUAUUGGUCUUGGACUAUAUAGUGUACAGUCAUGACUCACGAAUGAACUAUUAAGCAGUUGCGAAGUAAUGUGGAACUAAUUCCCUAGAACAACAUGCUCUUAAAGUUGUUGAUUAUACGGAGCCGCGUCUUAACAUAUAAAAAAGAUUAUAGUUUGUUGGUACUGAGCAACAAACUAAUGUGGAACCAUCAGCCUCCUGAGCUAGGAGCAGAGAGUGAUAGAAUAUCCUCUGUUCUGCCGAGUUUCAUUGAUGUAUUCGCAUCUUUUUGCACCAAAACAGUAGAUGCAUACAAUAUGAAUUAUGCAUUAAAUUUCAGAGAGAAUAAAGUCAUUCACCAGCUACUACUAAUCUUCCCAAGUUCUAUGAGUUGAAUUUUGAAAGCUAUAGUCAAGUAGUCCUAGAUGAUAGAGGUCUUUGUAAAUGCUUUCUUGACACAAAAUUUACGGAGAACAGAAAAUUUCUUUAGCGAAUUUACAUAUUAUGCACUUGUUGUUUGUGCACUUAUGGUCCCAUCAUACCUUACUUAUCAUUAUUUGUUUGUAGUAUUAAUUGAUUAUGUUCAUUCUUGAUCAGAAAAUAGCAUGCAUUUGUUUUGCUUUUCUACUGCAGGAAUGCCUCUGAACAUGUUUGGCUUGGGCAUCGGUACUACUACUAAGAUUAUCAAUUAAUUUAUUGAUCUAUGUUACUUAGAGUUACUUGGUAUAAUCUGUCUUUCUUAAUAGAUGGUGGAUGUGGAGUUGGCCUUGGGUUAGGAUGGGGCUUCGGCAAUGCUUAUGGCUGUAAGUAUCGAUCUUCAAGAGUCCAGUUUCAGGGCAUUGCAUUUCAGAAGAAGGCUGAAGGCGAUGAGGCAACGAAACUUGUUUCACUAGGGAGGGGGCUGCAGCAGGGAGCCCCUUUACCUGUUGCCUGGGAACGCAAUGUAUUAUCAUGAUCUUCCUGAAAUCAAGGUCGUUAUGUUAGGAAACAAAUCAGAGAUCACAGCUUGGUAAUUAAUUAAUUAGUAAAGAGAGACUGACAGACAUAGAGCACAAAUCAGCAAAAAAGUAAAAGCUUAUGUAGGUUCUGCAUUAGUUGGUCUACGUGGAUACUUGUGGAUUAGACACAUUACUUAUCUAUGACUGUGAGUCUGUGAUCUUGCUUGGUUAGUUUUUGUUAAAGCACAACUCUAGAGUGCUCCUUACUUGCAAAAUUACACAAUGUAAUGGAAAAAGAUCUCACUAUGGUUUUGUUAUGUUGAUGAAUUUCAUUUGGUGAAAUAAACUGAUGGUGCUCUGAUAA